Molecule: ribosomal RNA, 1074 nt
Filed under: Neisseria gonorrhoeae
Lineage: Bacteria; Pseudomonadati; Pseudomonadota; Betaproteobacteria; Neisseriales; Neisseriaceae
Description: bacterial SSU rRNA
Rfam family: Bacterial small subunit ribosomal RNA
Source: RNAcentral
GGCAUGCUUUACACAUGCAAGUCGGACGGCAGCACAGGGAAGCUUGCUUCUCGGGUGGCGAGUGGCGAACGGGUGAGUAACAUAUCGGAACGUACCGGGUAGCGGGGGAUAACUGAUCGAAAGAUCAGCUAAUACCGCAUACGUCUUGAGAGGGAAAGCAGGGGACCUUCGGGCCUUGCGCUAUCCGAGCGGCCGAUAUCUGAUUAGCUGGUUGGCGGGGUAAAGGCCCACCAAGGCGACGAUCAGUAGCGGGUCUGAGAGGAUGAUCCGCCACACUGGGACUGAGACACGGCCCAGACUCCUACGGGAGGCAGCAGUGGGGAAUUUUGGACAAUGGGCGCAAGCCUGAUCCAGCCAUGCCGCGUGUCUGAAGAAGGCCUUCGGGUUGUAAAGGACUUUUGUUAGGGAAGAAAAGGCCGUUGCCAAUAUCGGCGGCCGAUGACGGUACCUGAAGAAUAAGCACCGGCUAACUACGUGCCAGCAGCCGCGGUAAUACGUAGGGUGCGAGCGUUAAUCGGAAUUACUGGGCGUAAAGCGGGCGCAGACGGUUACUUAAGCAGGAUGUGAAAUCCCCGGGCUCAACCCGGGAACUGCGUUCUGAACUGGGUGACUCGAGUGUGUCAGAGGGAGGUGGAAUUCCACGUGUAGCAGUGAAAUGCGUAGAGAUGUGGAGGAAUACCGAUGGCGAAGGCAGCCUCCUGGGAUAACACUGACGUUCAUGUCCGAAAGCGUGGGUAGCAAACAGGAUUAGAUACCCUGGUAGUCCACGCCCUAAACGAUGUCAAUUAGCUGUUGGGCAACUUGAUUGCUUGGUAGCGUAGCUAACGCGUGAAAUUGACCGCCUGGGGAGUACGGUCGCAAGAUUAAAACUCAAAGGAAUUGACGGGGACCCGCACAAGCGGUGGAUGAUGUGGAUUAAUUCGAUGCAACGCGAAGAACCUUACCUGGUUUUGACAUGUGCGGAAUCCUCCGGAGACGGAGGAGUGCCUUCGGGAGCCGUAACACAGGUGCUGCAUGGCUGUCGUCAGCUCGUGUCGUGAGAUGUUGGGUUAAGUCCCGCAACGAGCGCAACCC